AGUACAAUCACCGGGAGAUGUACUACAUCGGUGGGAACUCGGAGAGCGUGGAGCAGAAUGUGAUGCACGCCUACGACAUGGCGUUUGGCGGCGGCGGGUUUGCCAUUAGCUACCCGCUGGCGGCGGAGCUGGUGAGAAUAAUGGACGGGUGCCUCAACCGGUAUUUCAUCUUCUACGGGUCGGAUCAGCGGGUGUGGGCCUGUGUGGGUGAGGUCGGUGUCACCCUUACAAGAGAACGGGGGUUCCACCAGGUAUUUUUUAUGUGGGAACUCGGAGAGCGUGGAGCAGAAUGUUAUGCACGCCUACGACAUGGCGUUUGGCGGCGGCGGGUUUGCCAUUAGCUACCCGCUGGCGGCGGAGCUGGUGAGAAUUAUGGACGGUUGCCUCAACCGGUAUUUCAACUUCUACGGAUCGGAUCAGCGGGUGUGGGCAUGUGUGGGUG
RNAcentral lists this long non-coding RNA (442 nucleotides) under Nicotiana benthamiana. RNAcentral's name for it is "long non-coding RNA (NBEN_LNC034775)". Lineage: Eukaryota; Viridiplantae; Streptophyta; Magnoliopsida; Solanales; Solanaceae. The record is from RNAcentral.